RNAcentral lists this ribosomal RNA (484 nucleotides) under uncultured bacterium. RNAcentral's name for it is "partial 16S ribosomal RNA". It matches the Rfam family "Bacterial small subunit ribosomal RNA", at positions 28 to 507 of the family's 1533-position model. The record is from RNAcentral.
AUUGAACGCUGGCGGCAUGCUUUACACAUGCAAGUCGAACGGCAGCACGGGGGCAGCCCUGGUGGCGAGUGGCGCACGGGUGAGUAAUACAUCGGAACGUGCCCGGUCGUGGGGGAUAACGUAGCGAAAGUUACGCUAAUACCGCAUACGAUCUGCGGAUGAAAGCGGGGGACCUUCGGGCCUCGCGCGAUCGUAGCGGCCGACGUCCGAUUAGUUAGUUGGUGGGGGAAUGGCCUACCAAGCAGACGAUCGGUAGCUGGUCUGAGAGGACGGCCAGCCGCACUGGGACUGGGACGCGGCCCAGAGUACUGCGGGAGGCAGCAGUGGGGAAUGGUGGACAAUAGGCGCAAGUCUGAUACAGCCAUUCCGCGUGCAGGGCGAAGGCGUUCGGGUUGUAAACUGCUUUUGUGGGGAGCGAAAAGGCUCUGGCUAAUACCUGGGGCUCAUGACGGUACCGUAAGAAUAAGCACCGGCUAACUACGUG